RNAcentral lists this transfer RNA (67 nucleotides) under Tridacna gigas (giant clam). RNAcentral's name for it is "tRNA-Val". It matches the Rfam family "tRNA". Rfam says of the family: Transfer RNA (tRNA) molecules are approximately 80 nucleotides in length. Their secondary structure includes four short double-helical elements and three loops (D, anti-codon, and T loops). The record is from RNAcentral. Lineage: Eukaryota; Metazoa; Mollusca; Bivalvia; Cardiida; Cardiidae.
AGGAGAAAUAGCAUAGAUUUAAUGCGCUUCCUUUACACGGAAGAGACAGCAAAAAGCUUUUCUCCUG